This 212-nucleotide long non-coding RNA is filed under the name Capsicum annuum. RNAcentral's name for it is "long non-coding RNA (CANN_LNC003070)". Lineage: Eukaryota; Viridiplantae; Streptophyta; Magnoliopsida; Solanales; Solanaceae. The record is from RNAcentral.
UUAUUUAGAUCGAGAACCACAACUUAAUGUGGCAACUUGAUCAGAAAAAGUCUCUUCAGCAUUAGCUAAAGUGAUUUUCUUGAUGGUGAUUUUUGCUUUCCCUAUUUAUUUUAUAAUUUUUUACUAUACAAAUGCAUGUCUUCUUUCUUUUAGCUCUUUCUUCCUUAUCUUCUUUUGCUUUUAUAGAUUGGCAUAAAACUUACUUCAAUACC